RNAcentral lists this ribosomal RNA (499 nucleotides) under uncultured Glomeromycotina. RNAcentral's name for it is "partial small subunit ribosomal RNA". It matches the Rfam family "Eukaryotic small subunit ribosomal RNA", at positions 591 to 1092 of the family's 1831-position model. Lineage: Eukaryota; Fungi; Glomeromycota. The record is from RNAcentral.
CCAAUAGCGUAUAUUAAAGUUGUUGCAGUUAAAAAGCUCGUAGUUGAAUUUCGGGAUUAAUUUACUGGUCGUGCUAUUGUACGUACUGGUUUUAUUGAUUCCUCCCUUCUGACGAACUAUGAUGUCAUUAAUUUGGUGUCAUAGGAAAUCAGGACUGUUACUUUGAAAAAAUUAGAGUGUUUAAAGCAGGCUCACGCUUGAAUACAUUAGCAUGGAAUAACGGAAUAGGACGUUUGAUUCUAUUUUGUUGGUUUCUAGGAUCGACGUAAUGAUUAAUAGUGAUAGUUGGGGGCAUUAGUAUUCAAUUGUCAGAGGUGAAAUUCUUGGAUUUAUUGAAGACUAACUACUGCGAAAGCAUUUGCCAAGGAUGUUUUCAUUAAUCAAGAACGAAAGUUAGGGGAUCGAAGACGAUCAGAUACCGUCGUAGUCUUAACCAUAAACUAUGCCGACUAGGGAUCGGAUGAUGUUAAUUUUUUAAUGACUCAUUCGGCGCCUUACG